RNAcentral lists this transfer RNA (71 nucleotides) under Salix viminalis (osier). It matches the Rfam family "tRNA". From Rfam's summary of the family: Transfer RNA (tRNA) molecules are approximately 80 nucleotides in length. Their secondary structure includes four short double-helical elements and three loops (D, anti-codon, and T loops). The record is from Rfam by way of RNAcentral. Lineage: Eukaryota; Viridiplantae; Streptophyta; Magnoliopsida; Malpighiales; Salicaceae.
GAGCAUGUAGCUCAGUGGUAAAGCGCUUGAUUUCAAGCAAGAGGUCAUUAGUUCGACCCCCUUCUAGCUCG